CUUGCUGUUCAGACUGCUGCCACGCUGGCUGGCUAGGUCACUCUGUAAGUUUAUACUUCCAGUGGUGAAAUUUGGGUGAUUUUAACAGCAUCAAGAAAGUGGCUACUAGCUUAAUAAGUUGCACUCUGGAAAAUUUCUUUGCUAAUGAAAAGCCUGCUGUGACCCAAGUUCUAUAGACUGGUGACCAUCCUGCUUGUCUUUGAGGAGUUUAAAUAAUGGAUUAAUGGAGAAGAUAAAACCCUGCUCCAUACGGAGCAGAUUCUGAGGAGGAGGCUGUCUACCUGACUUCAUUUCUUGCUGCUGUCGUCAUCAGUGCUGCUCUCAUUAUUCUCUGACUUCAAUUUCAUUUUCAUUGACCCUGCAACAUGGACUGAAGAUUAGAAACUCUGUGGGAGUAUUCUCAACUUUCAUCACCAGCUUGGGACUACUGAGUGCCCUGCUCAGAGUCACCUGAGGCCUGGGAACUACUCACUCGGGCACCCAUCCAGGUGGUCCAGCCCAUCCAGAGACUGCCAGGGUCCUGAUUCCGUCUCCACCCAGUGGAAGAGGAGAACCAUCGGAGUAUUGGACCUACUCGCACCCACUGGAUGGGAACCUUGGACCCAUACCCAUCAGGAGAAACUCCACCUGUACCCACUGGAAGAAGGGCUGGAAAGAAGGCAACAUAAAAACACAUUCAACAAUAGAAAAAACAAUAAGACACCACCAGAGUCUAGGGACUCUACACCAGCAAGACCUGAUGAACAACACAGUGCAGAUGAAGCAGAAGACAAUGACCUUAAAAACAAUUUAAUGAAAAUGAUAGAGGUCCUCAAAGAGGAUAUGAGAAAAUCCAUUGAAGAAAUGGAAGAAAAUUGUAUAAGUUGAAUUGAGAAUUUAAUUUCUUAUUAUAUUAUCUUGAC
RNAcentral lists this long non-coding RNA (902 nucleotides) under Cricetulus griseus (Chinese hamster). RNAcentral's name for it is "lncRNA (ENSCGRG00015029998.1)". The record is from RNAcentral. Lineage: Eukaryota; Metazoa; Chordata; Mammalia; Rodentia; Cricetidae.